Molecule: ribosomal RNA, 189 nt
Filed under: Hypocreales sp.
Lineage: Eukaryota; Fungi; Ascomycota; Sordariomycetes; Hypocreales
Description: partial large subunit ribosomal RNA
Rfam family: Eukaryotic large subunit ribosomal RNA
Source: RNAcentral
AGUAACGGCGAGUUCCGGGUGAACAGCUCAGAUUUGAAUUCUGGCGCAAGCCCGAGUUGUAAUUUGUAGAGGAUGUUUCUGGCGACGUGCCUUCCGAGUUCCCUGGAACGUGGGGGCUUGGUGGGUGAGAGCCCCGUACGGUUGGAUGCCUUGGCUCUGUGAAACUCCGUGUAUGGUUCGAGUUGUUUG